Molecule: long non-coding RNA, 972 nt
Organism: Glycine soja
Lineage: Eukaryota; Viridiplantae; Streptophyta; Magnoliopsida; Fabales; Fabaceae
Exons: 6
Source: RefSeq, a predicted model, not a curated record
AAGCCCUGUCGUCGAAGAGAACUCUGUGACCCAUCACUAAGCCCUGUCGUCGAAGAGAACUCUGUGACCCAUCACUAAGCCCUGUUCAAGGUGUGUCGUGCCGCGAUGGUAUCGUACGAAUUGACGGACGAAGGGCAGCUUGCUUGUGGCUUCAACAUCUGCCAACCAAACCCUUAGUCAUCUGGGAUUUAAAGGGAGGGACCGUUGUUGGUUGUCGCAUGUGGAAGAGAUACCAUUUCUACUGCAAGUUCCACAAAACGUUUAGCAUCUGAAAAUGUUUUUGUUGUUCAGGUUCUCGUAUCCUUGGUCUGCCGCUUCCUAGUUGCUUAACCUCAGUGCUGUGUAGAAGAUUGUACCAACCUUUUUACUUGGUUCUUGAAUUGAAUAAUAAAGUAUAUUUGGGAUGUCGUGUUCGAGUUUCUAUUGCUAAAGGCUACGAAAGGGUGAAUAUACCUCUAAUAGAAGAUUCUCAACAAUGGAUUCAGUUUUGGAUUCUUUGUCCUUCAAUUUAGAGUGACAUGUCUCAAAGAGUUGAAGUCCGAUGUCUUUUUGAAGAACCAGUUCCUUGUUCUUCCCAUUCAGUUGCCCACCUUGUUGAAGAACCAGUUUAUCAUGCACCAUGUCCACAUACAAGGACCUUCAUAGCUUCACAUUCAUCAGCAAAUCCCUUGAAGAGAAGCUGUGUGGAUUCAGGGCACCAAAUUAGUAUGCUCUUUGCUCGACUUUUUAACAGACAAAACAAUGUAGUUCACAUUAAGGGAGUUGCAGCUUGUAAUCAUUAACAGACUUGCCAGAAGUUCAUCAACUAGGUGUUUGAAGAAGAGAAGACAAGACCAUUUUUUGUCAACUCUAACCGGUUCUGUAAUGCUUUAAGAUGGUCAAAACUUUGUCAACUCUAACCAGUCAUCACAACACAUUUUAACUUCGCUGUGCAUCCAAAAAUAAAUAUGAAACUGCAGCAACCCCUUUGUU